This 687-nucleotide long non-coding RNA is filed under the name Malus domestica (apple). Its description in RNAcentral is "long non-coding RNA (MDOM_LNC019608)". Lineage: Eukaryota; Viridiplantae; Streptophyta; Magnoliopsida; Rosales; Rosaceae. The record is from RNAcentral.
UUUCAUAAGUUGUGGAUUCAAUUCGUUCAUCUACUUGAUUGAUAACUUAUUUGUGUAUGUUGAUUGAGAGUACACGCUUAGUUUUCAUGAAUAUGAUGCUAGAUUAUGAGGGAGUUUCACCUAAUAGUUACAAUCUUAUAAUCACAAGUAGUGAAGGUCGCUUGAAAACGAUCGCGUUGAAUGAAUUCUUGGCAUAAGUUUCAUGCAAUUCAUAGUAACAAAUGCUUCGUCAAUGCUUAUGUUUUUCAUAGAACUUAAUGAUUCUUGCUUGUAUCUCUAUUAUGCAAUUCAUGUAGGGAACUUGUAGGGAAUGCUUUGGGUUGUCGUAUGCAAUCAUCCAACUCAAUAACUCGUGGAAAAACUGAGGGUUAAUUAGUGCAAUUCACGGUUAAUUUGGGGCGUUGAGUAUUUAUAAUUUAUUGGAAGAACAACUGAAAAUCGUUUCGUUUGCAAGUGUGACAUGUGUGGAGAAGAACCUCCUAACUAGCCUUUUAUCAAUCCCUUUCAUUCAAAAACGUUUUACAAUCUGUUUAGUUUUAAGUUUCUGUUUGUUUUCAAUUUUCGUCCAAAACAAAUCCCCCUUUAUUUUGAAGUCUUAGAUUAGAUAGAAAGUGUUUCGAUUUGUGUUUCUAAGUGUUUUGAUUCAAGUUUUCACUCAAAUUCGUCCAAGUUCUUGUUAGGUUCUCA